Molecule: small RNA, 900 nt
Filed under: uncultured zygomycete
Lineage: Eukaryota; Fungi
Description: eukaryotic LSU rRNA
Rfam family: Eukaryotic large subunit ribosomal RNA (bases 616-900)
Source: RNAcentral
CUUGGUCAUUUAGAGGAAGUAAAAGUCGUAACAAGGUUUCCGUAGGUGAACCUGCGGAAGGAUCAUUCAUAAUAAGUGUUUUAUGGCACUUUUUAAAUCCAUAUCCACCUUGUGUGCAAUGUCAGUCGUUCUCUUAUGAGAAUGACCAAACAUCAACCUAUUUUUAACUCUUUGUCUGAAAAAUAUUAUGAAUAAAUAAUUCAAAAUACAACUUUCAACAACGGAUCUCUUGGCUCUCGCAUCGAUGAAGAACGCAGCGAAAUGCGAUACGUAAUGUGAAUUGCAGAAUUCAGUGAAUCAUCGAAUCUUUGAACGCAUAUUGCGCUCUUUGGUAUUCCGAAGAGCAUGCUUGUUUGAGUAUCAGUAAACACCUCAAAGCUUUCCAUUUUUUGAAAAGCCUUGGACUUGAGCGAACCCAACACCUUUCUAUUUCAGAUCGGCGGCGGGUUGCUUGAAAUGCAGGUGCAGCUGGACAUUCUCCUGAGCUAAAAGCAUAUUUAUUUAGUCCCGUCAAACGGAUUAUUACUUUUGCUGCAGCUUACAUAAAGGGAGUUUGACCUUAUUGGCUGACUGAUGCAGGAUUUCACAAGGGUCGGCAACGAUUUUUGUAAAACUCGAUCUCAAAUCAAGUAAGACUACCCGCUGAACUUAAGCAUAUCAAUAAGCGGAGGAAAAGAAACUAACAAGGAUUCCCCUAGUAACGGCGAGUGAAGCGGGAUGAGCUCAAAUUUAAAAUCUGGCUGGUUUACUAGUCCGAAUUGUAGUUUAUAGAAGCGUUUUCGGUGGCAGCCUGGGUAUAAAUCCUUUGGAAUAGGGUAUCAUAGAGGGUGAGAAUCCCGUCUUUGACUCAGUGCAUGCUACUAUGUGAUACGUUUUCAAAGAGUCGAGUUGUUUGGGAAU